UAAUACAGAGGGUGCGAGCGUUAAUCGGAGUUACUGGGCGUAAAGGGCACGUAGGCGGUUAUGUAAGUCAGUUGUGAAAUCCCCGGGCUUAACCUGGGAACUGCAAUUGAAACUGUGUGACUAGAGUCGAAGAGAGGGAAGCGGAAUUUCCGGUGUAGCGGUGAAAUGCGUAGAUAUCGGAAGGAACACCCGUGGCGAAGGCGGCUUCCUGGCUUCAGACUGACGCUGAGGUGCGAAAGCGUGGGUAGCGAACAGG
RNAcentral lists this ribosomal RNA (256 nucleotides) under uncultured bacterium. RNAcentral describes it as "partial 16S ribosomal RNA". It matches the Rfam family "Bacterial small subunit ribosomal RNA", at positions 521 to 776 of the family's 1533-position model. The record is from RNAcentral.